RNAcentral lists this long non-coding RNA (440 nucleotides) under Homo sapiens (human). RNAcentral's name for it is "HSALNT0131285". Lineage: Eukaryota; Metazoa; Chordata; Mammalia; Primates; Hominidae. The record is from RNAcentral.
GCCGGCCACCGCCGCGCGGCGCUGCUCGGGGACUGCUACUUUGCAAGGCGGCGGCUGCCCCUGCGGGGUUCGGGUUGCAGGGUCAAGUGUCACGUCCUCCGCAAUCUCCAAUAUUCCUGUAAUGUAUUUAAAUGGACGAAUUCAUUACGCGGGGCCGUGUGAAUGGGGCGAGGCCGCGAGCGCGGCGCGAUCAGUAGCGCCCACUAACAGUUCGUUCUGCACGGCGGAGCGCGAGACCGCGGACCCACGGAAGCCCCCUCAAUGGUGUUUGCGUCCUCGCCGCCACCGGCUUGGUAGGGUCCUUUAGGGAAGGAGGAAGAGUUCAGGCACCCGGACAGAUCCUAAUGGUCUUUCUGAUUUUUCUUUCCCUUCGGUCCGCUUUCCCCGCGACCUCCUCCACCCUCAGUCCGCCUUUCAAACGUCGUCCGCGGGGAUGGCUG